ACGGUCAUACCUGGUUGGAAACGCCGGAUCCCGUCCGAUCUCCGAAGCUAAGCAACCAUGGGCGUGUCUAGUACUCGGGUGGGGGACCACCGGGGAAGCGCACGUACCGUACAGAACCACACAUUUCACUGACUGGGAGGACUCUGAGGCGGGCUGCCGCGGGAGCCGCAGGGCCGCCGAAGCCG
This 185-nucleotide ribosomal RNA is filed under the name Guillardia theta CCMP2712. The record is from RNAcentral. Lineage: Eukaryota; Cryptophyceae; Pyrenomonadales; Geminigeraceae.